Molecule: ribosomal RNA, 2157 nt
Filed under: Candidatus Peregrinibacteria bacterium GW2011_GWA2_33_10
Lineage: Bacteria; Candidatus Peregrinibacteriota
Description: bacterial LSU rRNA
Rfam family: Bacterial large subunit ribosomal RNA
Source: RNAcentral
AUAAAAGCAUAUAGUGGAUGCCUUGACCUAAAAUCUCGACGAAGGACGUGGCUAGCUGCGAUAAGUCUCGGUGAGCUGCUAAGCAAGCUUUGACCCGGGAAUUUCCGAAUGGGGUAACCCCUCCAAAUAAACUUUGGAGACUUCCCGCCUAGCGGGAGGGGAAAAGUUGGUGAACUGAAACAUCUCAGUAACCAGUGAAAAGAAAGCAAAAGCGAUUCCCUUAGUAGUGGCGAGCGAACGGGGAACAGUCUAAACCAUAAAGAUGCAAUUGGCUGCAGCCUUAGUCUUUAUGGGGUUGCAAGAUAUUAUUGUUGCAUUCCUGCAUGAAUGCUCAUUUUGGAUUAUUUAUUAGUCGAAUAAUUCUGGAAAGAAUAGCGAUACAGGGUAAUAGCCCCGUAGAUAAAAAUAAUUAAUCUCAAAUGUAUUUUAUCUUAAGUAGGGUCGGACACGAGAAAUCCGGCUUGAAUCCGGCAGGACCACCUGCCAAGACUAAAUAGAUUUUAGGAUCGAUAGUGAACUAGUACCGCGAGGGAAAGGUGAAAAGUACCCCUGUUAGGGGGAUGAAAUAGUAUCUGAAACUGUAUGCUUAAAAGGUGUCGGAGUCCCGCAUUGCGGGAUGACGGCGUACUUUUUGUAGAACGGGCCAACAAGUUAGCUGUAUGGGGUUUGGUUAAGGGAGUAACACCCGGAGCCAAAGUGAAAGCGAGGAUGAAUAAUCCGUUUUUCCCGCCUAGCGGGAAAAAAAUCUCAUGCACUAGACCCGAAACCGAGUGAGCUAUCCAUGGGCAGGUUGAACCUGUCGUAAAAGACGGGGGAGGACCGAACGCACCGCGUAGCUAAGGGGGGACGCAACGGGAUAGUGAGAGCGUGUUAUUGAUUUCACGUGCAAUAAGUAAGUUUAUAUCCUAAUAAUGUAAAUCAGUUAGGAUUCGCGAGCUUAAAUGCAAAAUGCCCCGCAAUUGCGGGGUGAUUCUUGUGGCUUCUGUUGCCAAGAAAAUCCUCGUAGCGAGAAAUAUAUGUUUCCGUACCGCAAACCAACACCGGUGGGUAGGUUGAGUAUACUAAGGUGAUCGAGACAACUAUGCUUAAGGAACUCGGCAAAACAGCGUCCGUAACUUCGGAAUAAGGACUCCCAGCAUUGAUUUAUUAAUGUUGGGCGCAGCGAAAGAACUCGCGCAACUGUUUACCAAAAACACAGGUCUCUGCAAAACCGAAAGGUUAUGUAUAGGGGCUGACACCUGCCCAGUGCCAGAAGGUCACGAGGAGAAGUUCACGCUUUGAAUCUAAGCCCUGGUGAACGGCGGCCGUAACUAUAACGGUCCUAAGGUAGCGAAAUUCCUUGUCAGGUAAGUUCUGACCCGCACGAAUGGUGUAAUGGUGUGAGUACUGUCUCAAGCAUAGACUCGGUGAAAUUACAAUAUCGGUAAAAAUGCCGAUUAACUGCGGCAAGACGAAAAGACCCCGUGCAGCUUCACUACAGCUUGACAUUGGGUUAGGAUAUAUUAUGUGCAGGAUAGGUGGGAGGCGUUGAAGCUCUGACGCAAGUCGGGGUGGAGCCAUCCUUGAGAUACCACCCUUAAUAUAUUUUGACUCUAACCCCGCAUUGCGGGGGACAUUGUUUGGUGGGUAGUUUAACUGGGGCGGUUGCCUCCUAAAGAGUAACGGAGGCGCGCGAAGGUUCCCUAGGCCUGGAUGGAAAUCAGGUCGAUAGUGUAUUCGCAUAAGGGAGCUUGACUGCAAGACCUACAAGUCGAGCAGGCUCGAAAGAGGGCGAAAGUGAUCCGGUAUCUCCACGUGGGUGGGGUAUCGCUCAACGGAUAAAAGUUACGCCGGGGAUAACAGGCUUAUAGCGUCCAAUAGUUCACAUAGACGACGCUGUUUGGCACCUCGAUGUCGGCUCGUCGCAUCCUGGGGCUGGAGAAGGUCCCAAGGGUAUGGCUGUUCGCCAUUUAAAGCGGUACGCGAGCUGGGUUCAGAACGUCGUGAGACAGUUCGGCCUCUAUCUGUCGCAGUUGUAGGAAAUUUGAGAAGACCUGUCCCUAGUACGAGAGGACCGGGAUGGACGAACCUCUAGUGAAUCUGUUGUCUUAUCAAAGGCAUGGCAGAGUAGCUAUGUUCGGAAUGGAUAACCGCUGAAAGCAUCUAAGCGGGAAACCA